Acanthosepion pharaonis is the source of this 116-nucleotide non-coding RNA. Lineage: Eukaryota; Metazoa; Mollusca; Cephalopoda; Sepiida; Sepiidae. The record is from the annotation of a GenBank genome assembly.
ACGAGCAUAUCAAGUUGAUACACCGGUUCUCGUACGAUCAUCGAAGUUAAGCAACGUUGAGCGUGGUCAAUAUAUACUAAGAAGUGUGAUCGCUUGGGAAUGUCAUGUGUUGUAAG